Molecule: RNase P RNA, 346 nt
Filed under: Oscillospiraceae bacterium
Lineage: Bacteria; Bacillati; Bacillota; Clostridia; Eubacteriales; Oscillospiraceae
Description: RNase P RNA component class A
Rfam family: Bacterial RNase P class A
About the family: Ribonuclease P (RNase P) is a ubiquitous endoribonuclease, found in archaea, bacteria and eukarya as well as chloroplasts and mitochondria.
Source: RNAcentral
UGACUUCAUUAUAUGAUCGCGGGGCGCGUGAGCGUCAUGAGGAAAGUCCGAGCAUCACAGAGCGGGAUAGCUGAUAACGUCAGCCGAGGGCGACCUUAGGGCAAGUGCAACAGAGAUAUACCGCCGGCUUAUCACCGGUAAGGAUGGAAAGGCGAGGUAAGAGCUCACCGGAGUACGCGAGAGCGUACUGCCAUGUAAACCCUAUUCGAUGCAACGCCGAUUGGUGCGGGGGGUAACGCGUCUGCUCGGCGCGCCCCGUUGAAAGGCGGCUUGACCCCACCGGCGACGGCGGGGCUAGAUAGAUGAUCAUACACGACAGAACUCGGCUUAUCGAUGGAGUCACUUU